UACGGAGGGUGCAAGCGUUAUCCGGAUUCACUGGGUUUAAAGGGUGCGUAGGCGGGUAGGUAAGUCAGUGGUGAAAUCCUUGAGCUCAACUCCGGAACUGCCAUUGAUACUAUUUAUCUUGAAUAUUGUGGAGGUAAGCGGAAUAUGUCAUGUAGCGGUGAAAUGCUUAGAUAUGACAUAGAACACCCAUUGCGAAGGCAGCUUACUACGCAUAUAUUGACGCUGAGGCACGAAAGCGUGGGGAUCAAACAGGAUUAGAAACCCCUGUAGUCU
This 273-nucleotide ribosomal RNA is filed under the name uncultured Sediminibacterium sp. Its description in RNAcentral is "partial 16S ribosomal RNA". It matches the Rfam family "Bacterial small subunit ribosomal RNA", at positions 524 to 796 of the family's 1533-position model. The record is from RNAcentral. Lineage: Bacteria; Pseudomonadati; Bacteroidota; Chitinophagia; Chitinophagales; Chitinophagaceae.